CCUACGGGAGGCAGCAGUGGGGAAUAUUGCACAAUGGGGGAAACUCUGAUGCAGCGAUGUCGCGUGGAGGAAGAAUGCCUUCGGACUGUAAACUCCUUUUAUCAGGACGAUAAUGACGGUACCUGAAGAAAAAGCUCCGGCUAACUACGUGCCAGCAGCCGCGGUAAUACGUAGGGAGCGAGCGUUGUUCGGAAUUACUGGGUGUAAAGGGAGCGUAGGCGGGACGGCAAGUCAGAUGUGAAAAUUGAGGGCUCAACUUUCAGACUGCAUUUGAAACUGCUGUUCUUGAGUGUAGUAGAGGUAGGCGGAAUUCGUGGUGGAGCGGUGAAAUGCGUAGAUAUUAGGAAGAACAUCGAUGGCGAAGGCAGCUUACUGAGCUGUUACUGACACUGAGGCUCGAAAGUGUGGGGAGCAAACAGGAUUAGAUACCCCAGUAGUC
RNAcentral lists this ribosomal RNA (439 nucleotides) under uncultured bacterium. Its description in RNAcentral is "partial 16S ribosomal RNA". It matches the Rfam family "Bacterial small subunit ribosomal RNA", at positions 338 to 795 of the family's 1533-position model. The record is from RNAcentral.